UCCACAAGUCCCUGCUGGGGCUGGCCUAGA
This 30-nucleotide non-coding RNA is filed under the name Homo sapiens (human). The record is from RNAcentral. Lineage: Eukaryota; Metazoa; Chordata; Mammalia; Primates; Hominidae.